Molecule: ribosomal RNA, 116 nt
Filed under: uncultured bacterium AD45-G12
Lineage: Bacteria
Source: RNAcentral
UUCGGCGGCCAGAGCGAGGAAGUCACACCCGUUCCCUUUCCGAACACGGAAGUUAAGCUCCUCUGCGGCGAUGGUACUGUGGCGCUAGGCCACGGGAGAGUAGCACGUCGCCGGAU